This 303-nucleotide unclassified non-coding RNA is filed under the name Hevea brasiliensis (rubber tree). Lineage: Eukaryota; Viridiplantae; Streptophyta; Magnoliopsida; Malpighiales; Euphorbiaceae. The record is from RNAcentral.
AAGGCACCGAACCUAGAACAAUGCCACUUCCACUGGUUAUUAUUCAAGAAUGCCUAACUGUCUAUAUUAAGAAGCAGGUGGAUUAUAUUGGCCACCUUAUGUUGUCAAAGUUGAUGAAGGAUUGGAGAUUAACGGAUGAGCUUGGUGUUUUACGUGCCAUAUACCUGUUAGGUUCAGGUGAUCUACUGCAGCACUUUUUGACAGUGAUUUUCAGUAAGCUGGACAGGGGGGAAACAUGGGAUGAUAAUUUUGAGUUAAACUUGAUUCUACAGGAAUCCAUCAGGAAUUCUGCUGAUAGCAUGC